RNAcentral lists this ribosomal RNA (731 nucleotides) under uncultured bacterium. RNAcentral's name for it is "bacterial SSU rRNA". It matches the Rfam family "Bacterial small subunit ribosomal RNA", at positions 28 to 776 of the family's 1533-position model. The record is from RNAcentral.
GAUGAACGCUGACAGAAUGCUUAACACAUGCAAGUCGACUUGAAGCAACUUCGGUUGUGGAAAAGUGGCGGACGGGUGAGUAACGCGUAAAGAACUUGCCCUUCAGUCUGGGACAACCAUUGGAAACGAUGGCUAAUACCGGAUAUUAUGGAACUCUCGCAUGGGAGGAUCAUGAAAGCUAUAUGCGCUGAAGGAGAGCUUUGCGUUCCAUUAGCUAGUUGGUGAGGUAACGGCUCACCAAGGCGACGAUGGAUAGCCGGCCUGAGAGGGUGAUCGGCCACAAGGGGACUGAGACACGGCCCUUACUCCUACGGGAGGCAGCAGUGGGGAAUAUUGGACAAUGGACCAAAAGUCUGAUCCAGCAAUUCUGUGUGCACGAUGAAGGUUUUCGGAUCGUAAAGUGCUUUCAGUUGGGAAGAAGAAAGUGACGGUACCAACAGAAGAAGCGACGGCUAAAUACGUGCCAGCAGCCGCGGUAAUACGUAUGUCGCAAGCGUUAUCCGGAUUUAUUGGGCGUAAAGCGCGUCUAGGCGGGUUCAUAAGUCUGAUGUUAAAAUGCGGGGCUCAACUCCGUAUUGCGUUGGAAACUGUGAACCUAGAGUAUCAGAGAGGUGGGCGGAACUACAAGUGUAGAGGUGAAAUUCGUAGAUAUUUGUAGGAAUGCCGAUGGAGAAGUCAGCUCACUGGAUGAAUACUGACGCUAAAGCGCGAAAGCGUGGGUAGCAAACAGG